UACUGGCUCAGGAUGAACGCUAGCUACAGGCUUAACACAUGCAAGUCGAGGGGCAGCAUGAUCGAAGCUUGCUUGAUGAUGGCGACCGGCGCACGGGUGAGUAACGCGUAUCCAACCUUCCCUAUAGUAGAGAAUAGCCCGGCGAAAGUCGGAUUAAUGCUCUAUGUUGUAUUUAGAAGACAUCUGAAGAAUACCAAAGGUUUACCGCUAUAGGAUGGGGAUGCGUCUGAUUAGGUUGUAGGCGGGGUAACGGCCCACCUAGCCGACGAUCAGUAGGGGUUCUGAGAGGAAGGUCCCCCACAUUGGAACUGAGACACGGUCCAAACUCCUACGGGAGGCAGCAGUGAGGAAUAUUGGUCAAUGGACGGAAGUCUGAACCAGCCAAGUAGCGUGCAGGAUGACGGCCCUAUGGGUUGUAAACUGCUUUUAUAUAGGGAUAAAGUCGGGGACGUGUCCCCGUUUGUAGGUACUAUAUGAAUAAGGACCGGCUAAUUCCGUGCCAGCAGCCGC
This 510-nucleotide ribosomal RNA is filed under the name uncultured bacterium. RNAcentral describes it as "bacterial SSU rRNA". It matches the Rfam family "Bacterial small subunit ribosomal RNA", at positions 17 to 518 of the family's 1533-position model. The record is from RNAcentral.